This 492-nucleotide ribosomal RNA is filed under the name uncultured bacterium. RNAcentral describes it as "partial 16S ribosomal RNA". It matches the Rfam family "Bacterial small subunit ribosomal RNA", at positions 29 to 507 of the family's 1533-position model. The record is from RNAcentral.
AGUGAACGCUGGCGGUAGGCCUAACACAUGCAAGUCGAACGGCAGCACAGUAAGAGCUUGCUCUUACGGGUGGCGAGUGGCGGACGGGUGAGGAAUACAUCGGAAUCUACUUUUUCGUGGGGGAUAACGUAGGGAAACUUACGCUAAUACCGCAUACGCCCUACGGGUGAAAGCAUGGGAUCUUCGGACCUUGCGCGAUUGAAUGAGCCGCUGUCGGAUUAGCUAGUUGGCGGGGUAAAGGCCCACCAAGGCGACGAUCCGUAGCUGGUCUGAGAGGAUGAUCAGCCACACUGGAACUGAGACACGGUCCAGACUCCUACGGGAGGCCGCAGUGGGGAAUAUUGGACAAUGGGCGCAAGCCUGAUCCAGCCAUACCGCGUGGGUGAAGAAGGCCUUCGGGUUGUAAAGCCCUUUUGUUGGGAAAGAAAAGCAGCAGGUUAAUACCCCGCUGUUCUGACGGUACCCAAAGAAUAAGCACCGGCUAACUUCGUG